Sinocyclocheilus grahami is the source of this 571-nucleotide long non-coding RNA. RefSeq lists it as uncharacterized. The transcript is spliced from 4 exons. The record is from RefSeq and is a predicted model, not a curated record. NCBI's taxonomy places the organism in Eukaryota, Metazoa, Chordata, Actinopteri, Cypriniformes, Cyprinidae.
GAAAGUGAGCGAGCAUCGCAGCCUCUGCGCUCUCCAAACUCAAUCAGAGUAGGCGGCAGUGCGCGCGCUCCACAGCAGAUGAACUGAGAGCACAAGACCAGCCAUGAUGCUCAGCCUGCAGCUGUGUGCGCUGGAGGAGAGCUGAGGAGCUGCGGUCAUGCCGGAGAAGAGCGCACAGUAGAAGUCUUCUCACUGAGGAUGGCAGGGAUGCUGCGCGCCGCAUCACUCGCUCUGGCUCUGUGAAACAGCGCACGGUGCCCCGGACGAGCCGUACGGCAGGACCUGUGUGAGUGUGUGUGUGUGUGUGUGUGUGUCUACAGCUCAGUGGAAUGAUUUCAGAUCUCCCCAAGGUGCUGAUACUGGGGGCCAUCGCCGCCGCCUCUGCCUUUGUGGUCACCAUCCUUAUCGUCUUGGUGUGUGUGGGGUGUCAGAGAAAAAGCAAAAGCAAACAUGGCCAAGCCAACGGAGGGGCUCAGAAAAAGGAAACGGCUGCUCUGCGCCAGUCCAAGCUGAACUCAAUGAGUAAAUCUGACACCCGCCUGCAUGACAUGCACAGGCUGCCCUGCAACGC